GAUGAACGCUGGCGGCGUGCAUAACACAUUCAAGUCGAACGGAGCAGCAAUGCUUAGUGGCGGACGGGUGAGUAACGCGUGAGCAACCUGCCCUUGUGUGGGGGAUAACGUUUGGAAACGAACGCUAAUACCGCAUAACGCAUCGGAAUCGCAUGUUUCUGAUGCCAAAGAUUUAUUGCGCAAGGAUGGGCUCGCGUCUGAUUAGCUAGUUGGUGAGGUAACGGCUCACCAAGGCGACGAUCAGUAGCCGGUCUGAGAGGAUGAACGGCCACAUUGGGACUGAGACACGGCCCAGACUCCUACGGGAGGCAGCAGUGGGGAAUAUUGGGCAAUGGGGGAAACCCUGACCCAGCAACGCCGCGUGAAGGAAGAAGGCCU
This 378-nucleotide ribosomal RNA is filed under the name uncultured bacterium. RNAcentral describes it as "bacterial SSU rRNA". It matches the Rfam family "Bacterial small subunit ribosomal RNA", at positions 28 to 417 of the family's 1533-position model. The record is from RNAcentral.